GAUGAAGAACGCAGCGAAAUGCGAUAAGUAAUGUGAAUUGCAGAAUUCAGUGAAUCAUCGAAUCUUUGAACGCACAUUGCGCCCGUCAGUAUUCUGGCGGGCAUGCCUGUUCGAGCGUCAUUACGCCCCUCAAGUCCCCUGUGGACUUGGUGUUGGGGAUCGGCGAGGCUGGUUUUCCAGCACAGCCGUCCCCCAAAUACAGUGGCGGUCCCGCCGCAGCUUCCAUUGCGUAGUAGCUAACACCUCGCAACUGGAGAGCGGCGCGGCCACGCCGUAAAACACCCAACUUCUGAAUGUUGACCUCGAAUCAGGUAGGAAUACCCGCUGAACUUAAGCAUAUCAAUAAGCGGAGGA
This 354-nucleotide unclassified non-coding RNA is filed under the name soil metagenome. RNAcentral describes it as "partial contains 5.8S ribosomal RNA, internal transcribed spacer 2, and large subunit ribosomal RNA". The stretch from base 1 to 120 matches the Rfam family "5.8S ribosomal RNA", at positions 35 to 154 of the family's 154-position model. The record is from RNAcentral.